AGCAGCCGCAGUAAUUUCAGCUCGAAUAGCGUAUAAAGUUGUUGCAGUUAAAAAGCUCAUAGUUGAAUUUUGGGGUUAGUAAGUUGGUCGUGCCUUCAGUAUGUACUGACUUUACUGAUUUCUCUUCUUGACGAACCAUGAUGUCAUUAAUUUGGUGUUGCGGGAAAUCAGAACUGUUAAUUUGAAAAAAUUAGAGUGUUUAAAGCAGGCUAACGCUUGAAUACAUUAGCAUAGAAUAAUGAAGUAGGACGUUAAUCCUAUUUUGUUGGUUUCUAGGAUUGACAUAAUGAUUAAUAGGGAUAGUUGGGCAUUAGUAUUCAAUUGUCAGAUGUGAAAUUCUUGGAUUUAUUGAAGACUAACUACUGCGAAAGCAUUUACCAAGGAUGUUUUCAUUAAUCAAGAACGAAAGUUAGAGGAUCAAAAUGAUCAGAUACCAUCGUAGUCUUAACCAUAAACUAUGCCGACUAGAGAUCAGAUGAUGUUUAAUUUUUUAAUUAGUACUCU
RNAcentral lists this ribosomal RNA (504 nucleotides) under uncultured Glomus. RNAcentral describes it as "bacterial SSU rRNA". It matches the Rfam family "Eukaryotic small subunit ribosomal RNA", at positions 569 to 1081 of the family's 1831-position model. Lineage: Eukaryota; Fungi; Glomeromycota; Glomeromycetes; Glomerales; Glomeraceae. The record is from RNAcentral.